GACAGAGGUGCCGAGCGUUAGGCGGAAUCACUGGGCUUAAAGCGUGUGUAGGCGGAUUUGUAAGUACCUUGUGAAAUCCCACGGCUCACCCGUGGAACUGCUCGGUAUACUGGGUCGCUUGAGCCACUUAGGGGCUACCGGAACAAAUGGUGGAGCGGUGAAAUGCGUAGAUAUCAUUUGGAACGCCAAUGGUGAAAACAGGUAGCUGGGAGUGUGCUGACGCUGAGACACGAAAGCCAGGGGAGCAAACGGG
RNAcentral lists this ribosomal RNA (253 nucleotides) under uncultured bacterium. RNAcentral describes it as "partial 16S ribosomal RNA". It matches the Rfam family "Bacterial small subunit ribosomal RNA", at positions 524 to 776 of the family's 1533-position model. The record is from RNAcentral.